CCCUUAGAUGUUCUGGGCCGCACGCGUGCUACACUGAGUGGAUCAGCGGGUCAGGUUGCGCGAAAGCGUUUCCUAAUCUUUAAAUCCGCUCGUGAUGGGGAUUGACGGUUGCAAUUUUCUGUCAUGAACGAGGAAUACCUUGUAAGCGCGGGUCAUCAUCCCGCGCUGAAUACGUCCCUGCCCUUUGUACACACUGCCCGUCGCUCCUACCGAUUGAGUGGUCCGGUGAGGCUUUGGGAUCUGAGCGGAAAGAGCGUUUCGCUGUUUCUGCCCGGAAAACUCAGUCGAACCUUAUCAUUUAGAGGAAGGAGAAGUCGUAACA
This 322-nucleotide ribosomal RNA is filed under the name uncultured eukaryote. Its description in RNAcentral is "partial 18S ribosomal RNA". It matches the Rfam family "Eukaryotic small subunit ribosomal RNA", at positions 1470 to 1796 of the family's 1831-position model. The record is from RNAcentral.